RNAcentral lists this ribosomal RNA (1972 nucleotides) under human gut metagenome. Its description in RNAcentral is "bacterial LSU rRNA". It matches the Rfam family "Bacterial large subunit ribosomal RNA", at positions 1 to 1976 of the family's 2925-position model. The record is from RNAcentral.
GUAAGCUACUAAGAGCAAAUGGUGGAUGCCUUGGUUGGUAGAGGCGAUGAAGGACGUACUAGACUGCGAUAAGCUAUGAGGAGCUGUCAAGAAGCUUUGAUUCAUAGAGUUCCGAAUGGGGCAACCCGGUAUAUAGUGAUAUAUACCACCUGAUAUGGAGCGAACUUGGGGAACUGAAACAUCUUAGUACCCAAAGGAAAAGAAAUCAAUUGAGAUUAUGCAAGUAGCGGCGAGCGAACGCGUAAGAGGGCAAACCACUAGUUUACUAGUGGGGUUAUAGGACUGCAUAAAAGAAUAAAAACGGAUAAUAGAACAAUUUGGAAAAGUUGAGCAUAGAGGGUGAUACUCCCGUAUAUGAAAUCCCUUUUUUACUUAGCGGUAUCCUGAGUAAGACGAGUCACGUGAAAUCUUGUCUGAAUUCGGGUCGACCACGAUCCAACCCUAAAUACUACUACCAAACCGAUAGCGAACAAGUACCGUGAGGGAAAGGUGAAAAGAACUGAGGUGAUCAGAGUGAAAUAGAAUCUAAAACCAUUUGCUUACAAUCAUUCAGAGCCCUAUGAUUUAUCAGGGUGAUGGACUGCCUUUUGCAUAAUGAGCCUGCGAGUUGUGGUGUCCGGCAAGGUUAAGUAAACACGGAGCCGUAGCGAAAGCGAGUCUUAAUAGGGCGUUUAGUCGGAUGCUGCAGACCCGAAACGAUGUGAUCUAUCCAUGAGCAGAUUGAAACCGGUGUAAGAACCGGCGGAGGAUCGAACAGACGGCCAUUGAAACGGCUCCUGAUGACUUGUGGAUAGGGGUGAAAGGCCAAUCAAACAUCGUGAUAGCUGGUUCUCUUCGAAAUAUAUCGAGGUAUAGCGUUGUGUCGUAAUUAUAAGGGGUAGAGCACUGAAUGGGCUAGGGCAUACACCAAUGUACCAACCCCUAUCAAACUCCGAAUACUUAUAAUGUAAUCACAGCAGUCAGGCGGCGAGUGAUAAAAUCCGUCGUCGAAAGGGGAACAACCCGGACUACCGACUAAGGUCCCUAAAUCUUAUUUAAGUGGAAAACGAUGUGAAGUUACUUAAACAACCAGGAGGUUGGCUUAGAAGCAGCCAUCCUUUAAAGAUAGCGUAAUAGCUCACUGGUCUAGUGAUUUUGCGCGGAAAAUAUAACGGGGCUAAAAUAAGUACCGAAGUCGUAGAUUUACACAAUAGUGUAAGUGGUAGAAGAGCGUUGUAUUUAGCAUUGAAGGCGUACCGGUAAGGAGCGCUGGAGCAUAUACAAGUGAGCAUGCAGGCAUGAGUAGCGAUAAUUAAUGUAAGAAUCAUUAACGCCGAAAACCCAAGGUUUCCUACGCGAUGCUCGUCAUCGUAGGGUUAGUCGGGUCCUAAGCAAAGUCCGAAAGGGGUAUGCGAUGGAAAAUCGGUUAAUAUUCCGAUACCAACAUUAUUGUGCGAUGGAAGGACGCUUAAAGUUAAUGGGGCUAAGUGAUGGAAUACUUAGUCUAAGGAUGUAGGUUAAGUUGUAGGCAAAUCCGCAACUUUUUAUCCGAGAUCUAAAAGGCUUACAAAACUCUUCGGAGUAGCGUAAGAACCCAUGAUACUAUCGAGCCGAGAAAAGUUUCUAAGUUUAGAUAAUGUUGCCCGUACCGUAAACCGACACAGGUGGGUGGGAUGAGUAUUCUAAGGCGCGUGGAAGAACUCUCUUUAAGGAACUCUGCAAAAUAGCACCGUAUCUUCGGUAUAAGGUGUGCCUAACUUUGUGAAAGAUUUACUCUAUAAGCAAAGAAGGUUACAACAAAGAGUCCCUCCCGACUGUUUACCAUAAACACAGCACUCUGCUAACACGUAAGUGGAUGUAUAGGGUGUGACGCCUGCCCGGUGCUCGAAGGUUAAUUGAUGAUGUCAGGAGUAAUCCAAAGCAUUUGAUCGAAGCCCGAGUAAACGGCGGCCGUAACUAUAACGGUCCUAAGGUAGCGAAAUUCCUUGUCGGG